RNAcentral lists this ribosomal RNA (450 nucleotides) under uncultured bacterium. RNAcentral's name for it is "partial 16S ribosomal RNA". It matches the Rfam family "Bacterial small subunit ribosomal RNA", at positions 354 to 796 of the family's 1533-position model. The record is from RNAcentral.
GUGGGGAAUAUUGGACAAUGGGCGAGAGCCUGAUCCAGCCAUGCCGCGUGUGUGAAGAAGGUCUUCGGAUUGUAAAGCACUUUAAGUUGGGAGGAAGGGCAGUAAGUUGAUACCUUGCUGUUUUGACGUUACCGACAGAAUAAGCACCGGCUAACUUCGUGCCAGCAGCCGCGGUAAUACGAAGGGUGCAAGCGUUAAUCGGAAUUACUGGGCGUAAAGCGCGCGUAGGUGGUUUUGUAAGUUGGAGGUGAAAUCCCCGGGCUCAACCUGGGAACUGCCUCCAAAACUGCAUGACUAGAGUACGGUAGGGGGUAGUGGAAUUUCCUGUGUAGCGGUGAAAUGCGUAGAUAUAGGAAGGAACACCAGUGGCGAAGGCGACUACCUGGACUGAUACUGACACUGAGGUGCGAAAGCGUGGGGAGCAAACAGGAUUAGAAACCCGGGUAGUCC